RNAcentral lists this ribosomal RNA (845 nucleotides) under uncultured Gammaproteobacteria bacterium. RNAcentral describes it as "bacterial SSU rRNA". It matches the Rfam family "Bacterial small subunit ribosomal RNA", at positions 56 to 935 of the family's 1533-position model. Lineage: Bacteria; Pseudomonadati; Pseudomonadota; Gammaproteobacteria. The record is from RNAcentral.
UGCAAGUCGAACGUGAAAGCACUUCGGUGUGAGUAGAGUGGCGGACGGGUGAGUAACGCGUGGGAAUCUACCCAGUAGUGGGGGACAACUACCGGAAACGGUAGCUAAUACCGCAUACGCCCUAUGGGGGAAAGGCUUCGGCCGCUAUUGGAUGAGCCCGCGUCAGAUUAGCUAGUUGGUAGGGUAAAGGCCUACCAAGGCAACGAUCUGUAGCUGGUCUGAGAGGACGAACAGCCACACUGGGACUGAGACACGGCCCAGACUCCUACGGGAGGCAGCAGUGGGGAAUAUUGGACAAUGGGCGAAAGCCUGAUCCAGCAAUGCCGCGUGUGUGAAGAAGGCCUGCGGGUUGUAAAGCACUUUCAGUUGGGAAGAUGAUGACGUUACCAACAGAAGAAGCACCGGCUAAAUCCGUGCCAGCAGCCGCGGUAAUACGGAUGGUGCGAGCGUUAAUCGGAAUUACUGGGCGUAAAGCGCGCGUAGGCGGCUAAGUCAGUCAGAAGUGAAAGCCCCGGGCUCAACCUGGGAAUUGCUUUUGAUACUGCUUAGCUAGAGUUUGGUAGAGGAUAGUGGAAUUCCAGGUGUAGCGGUGAAAUGCGUAGAUAUCUGGAGGAACAUCAGUGGCGAAGGCGACUGUCUGGACCAAAACUGACGCUGAGGUGCGAAAGCGUGGGUAGCAAACAGGAUUAGAUACCCUGGUAGUCCACGCCGUAAACGAUGUCAACUAGCCGUCGGGUCUAUUUACAGACUUGGUGGCGAAGCUAACGCGAUAAGUUGACCGCCUGGGGAGUACGGCCGCAAGGUUAAAACUCAAAGGAAUUGACGGGGGCCCGCACAAGCGGUGG